Molecule: long non-coding RNA, 523 nt
Organism: Gorilla gorilla gorilla (western lowland gorilla)
Lineage: Eukaryota; Metazoa; Chordata; Mammalia; Primates; Hominidae
Exons: 3
Source: RefSeq, a predicted model, not a curated record
UCAUGGAGCCAUGAAGAUGUUGAUAGUUGGAUAUCAGGAACAGAUGAUGUCAAUCACUAAUGGGUAAGCCACAUCUGCCUCAUGGAAACAUUGGACAAAGAGAUUAUUCACAUCCCAGGCAGGAUGGAGCUGGAUAGUAUCACAGUUGACCAGGGGAAACUAAAAUCAUGGGAAACAAAACCAUGGAUAAGGCAGUACUACUGUAUACAGUUGGCCCUCCAUAGCCAUGCACUCUGCAUCAGUGGAUUCAAUCAGCCAUGGAUAAAAAAAUGUUUGAAAAGUUUAAAAGAAUGGUUGUUUCUGUACUGAACAGGUUAGGCGUUCAAGCUGUGUUAAAUCACAUCCCUGAUGUUUAUGUGGUCAGGAUAUGUGCCCUUGAGUGACCACGCAGAAGUGAGUGGAACUUUCUACCAUGCUUUGUAUGCUAAGACUUCCAUCAACGAGUGAUUUUCUUGCUUUAAAUUUAAUGCUGACUCCAUUCAAGCAGAAAAUAGAUUUGAAGACAAUGAAAAAUGUGCCACUU